Molecule: long non-coding RNA, 202 nt
Organism: Solanum stenotomum
Lineage: Eukaryota; Viridiplantae; Streptophyta; Magnoliopsida; Solanales; Solanaceae
Exons: 3
Source: RefSeq, a predicted model, not a curated record
UGAAAUUUGGCACUGCAAAACAGGAUGCAGAUCACAGGGAUUUGACCAUUAGUAGCUUGUUUUGCAACAUUAACACCAAAUCAGUCGAAGAUCUUAGAGAAAGAGGUAUUGCAGAUCUGAAGUCUGGAAAAAUUGUCACCCCUCUACCUCCAAAACAGACCUUUUAGGAUGAUCCCCUAAGAGUUCUCGAGCUAUUCAUUUU